Molecule: transfer RNA, 73 nt
Filed under: Ailuropoda melanoleuca (giant panda)
Lineage: Eukaryota; Metazoa; Chordata; Mammalia; Carnivora; Ursidae
Rfam family: tRNA
About the family: Transfer RNA (tRNA) molecules are approximately 80 nucleotides in length.
Source: Rfam by way of RNAcentral
GCCUGGCUGGCUCAGGCAAUAGAGCACGUGACUCUUGAUCUCAGGGUUGUGAGUUCGAGCCUCACACUGGGUG